GAUGAACGCUGGCGGCGUGCCUAACACAUGCAAGUCGAACGAAGCACCUUACCUGAUUCUUCGGAUGGAAGUUUGGUGACUGAGUGGCGGACGGGUGAGUAACGCGUGGGUAACCUGCCCUGUACAGGGGGAUAACAGCUGGAAACGGCUGCUAAUACCGCAUAAGCGCACGAGGAGACAUCUCCUUGUGUGAAAAACUCCGGUGGUACAGGAUGGGCCCGCGUCUGAUUAGCUGGUUGGCAGGGUAACGGCCUACCAAGGCAACGAUCAGUAGCCGGUCUGAGAGGAUGAACGGCCACAUUGGAACUGAGACACGGUCCAAACUCCUACGGGAGGCAGCAGUGGGGAAUAUUGCACAAUGGGGGAAACCCUGAUGCAGCAACGCCGCGUGAGUGAAGAAGUAUUUCGGUAUGUAAAGCUCUAUCAGCAGGGAAGAUAAUGACGGUACCUGACGAAGAAGCUCCGGCUAAAUACGUG
Molecule: ribosomal RNA, 477 nt
Filed under: uncultured bacterium
Lineage: Bacteria
Description: partial 16S ribosomal RNA
Rfam family: Bacterial small subunit ribosomal RNA
Source: RNAcentral